Molecule: ribosomal RNA, 538 nt
Filed under: uncultured cyanobacterium
Lineage: Bacteria; Bacillati; Cyanobacteriota
Description: bacterial SSU rRNA
Rfam family: Bacterial small subunit ribosomal RNA
Source: RNAcentral
AGGCUUUGAUCCUGGCUCAGGAUGAACGCUGGCGGUAUGCCUAACACAUGCAAGUCGAACGAAUCCUUCGGGAUUAGUGGCGGACGGGUGAGUAACGCGUGAGAAUCUGCCUUCAGGACGGGGAUAACAGUGGGAAACCACUGCUAACCCCCGAUGUGCCGAGAGGUGAAAUAUUAAUAGCCUGGAGAGGAGCUCGCGUCUGAUUAGCUAGUUGGUGGGGUAAAAGCCUACCAAGGCAACGAUCAGUAGCUGGUCUGAGAGGAUGAGCAGCCACACUGGGACUGAGACACGGCCCAGACUCCUACGGGAGGCAGCAGUGGGGAAUUUUCCGCAAUGGGCGAAAGCCUGACGGAGCAAUACCGCGUGAGGGAAGAAGGUUUUUGGAUUGUAAACCUCAAAACUUAGGGACGAAAAAAAUGACGGUACCUAAUUUAAGCAUCGGCUAACUCCGUGCCAGCAGCCGCGGUAAUACGGAGGAUGCAAGCGUUAUCCGGAAUUAUUGGGCGUAAAGCGUCCGUAGGUGGUCAAUCAAGUCUGC